Molecule: unclassified non-coding RNA, 238 nt
Filed under: Hevea brasiliensis (rubber tree)
Lineage: Eukaryota; Viridiplantae; Streptophyta; Magnoliopsida; Malpighiales; Euphorbiaceae
Source: RNAcentral
GUUCCGCGGUUCCGUCCGGACGCGACGGAUAACGAUCAAAUUAAGACGCUCGCGCGUGUCCAUUUUAAGACAUUCGCAAAUUCACAUUUCACGUUUGAAUCGGUUGCUUGCAAUGAUCGUUCGUCGACGCGAUUGCGACGUCACCGACGCUGCCAGCGGCGAGCGUGCUGAGGAGCGGUUUGCUGCCAUCGGGGCGGCCAUGGACAAGGCGACGGCCCAUGGAUGUGGGGUGAUUUUC